RNAcentral lists this ribosomal RNA (1110 nucleotides) under Bracteacoccus minor. RNAcentral's name for it is "partial small subunit ribosomal RNA". It matches the Rfam family "Eukaryotic small subunit ribosomal RNA", at positions 680 to 1806 of the family's 1831-position model. Lineage: Eukaryota; Viridiplantae; Chlorophyta; Chlorophyceae; Sphaeropleales; Bracteacoccaceae. The record is from RNAcentral.
UAGACUGAUCCCCUUUUCCUCAGAGGAGAGACUAUUGGAUAUCACGGUCCAGGACUCAGGAAUUCGUCGGUCGUAUCAUGGAUCAAAAUAUGAGUGUCUAAAGCGAGCAUUAGCCUCGGAUAGUAUUCAGCAUAGUAGAGACAGAUAUAUGAUUUGGCCGUCUUUUUUUUUCUUCGGAUCGAGUGUAAUGUUUGAGAGGCACUGGGGGGGCGCUUUUAUUUUCUCUUUCUCAGGGGAGAAAUUUCUGGGAUUUUAGAGAGGGAGAUUUCUGGAGAAAGGCAUUUCCCAAGGGUUUUUUUCUUAUAAACAAAAAGAAAAAUGGGGGGGGGGAAGAGGAAUUUGAGACCGUCUUAGUGUCUACACCAAAAAGAUACCCAGUAGAGGGGAGGGGAGGGUGUUUUUUAGUGACUCCCUCAGCACCUUAUGAGAAAUCAAAGUUUUUGGGUUCCGGGGAGAGUAUGGUCGCAAGGCUGAAACUUAAAGGAAUUGACGGAAGGGCACCCCCCGGCGUGGAGCCUGCGGGUUAAUUUGACUCAACACGGGGAAACUUACCAGGUCCCGACAUAGUGAGGAUUGACAGAUUGAGAGCUCUUUCUUGAUUUUAUGGGUGGUGGUGCAUGGCCGUUUUUAGUUGGUGGGGUGCCUUGUCAGGUUGAUUCCGGUAACGAACGAGACCUCCGCCUGCUAAAUAGUUGCCAUAUUUUUUUGCAGCGGGCUGCACUUUUUGGAGGGACUUUGGGGGUUUAUUAAAAGGAAGUUGGGGCCAAUACCAGUUUUGUGAUGCCUUUAGAUGUCUGGGGCCCCCCCCGCGCUCCAUUGACCCAUUCACAGAGCUUUCCUUGUCCGAAGGGUUUGGGUAAUUUUUUAAAAUUGCUUCGGGAUGGGGAUAGAUUAUUCCAAUUAUUAUUUUUAAAGGAGGAAUUCUUAGUAAGUCCAGUUCAUCAGCUUGCGUUGAUUACGUCCCUCCCCUUUGUCCCCCCCGCCCGUCGCCCCUACCGAUUGGUGGAUUGGGAAAUCGUUGGGAUGGCCAUCAGGGGUCCAACACGUCAUUGGGCGGAGAAGGUCAUAAACCCUCCCACCUAGAGAAGAGAAGUCGAGCAAGACGUCCAG